CUUUACUGCAGCUUUGCAUUGGACUUUGACGGCGCUUGUGUAGGAUAGGUGGGAGGCUGAGAGACGCGGUCGCCAGAUCGCGAUGAGCCGUCGUUGAAAUACCACCCUGGUGUCGUUGAGGUUCUAACCUAGGCCCCUGAAGCGGGGUUGGGGACAGUGCAUGGUGGGCAGUUUGACUGGGGCGGUCUCCUCCUAAAGCGUAACGGAGGAGCACGAAGGUUCGCUAGGCACGGUCGGAAAUCGUGUCGAUAGUGCAAGGGCAAAAGCGAGCUUGACUGCGAGACUGGCAAGUCGAGCAGGUGCGAAAGCAGGUCCUAGUGAUCCGGUGGUUCUGUAUGGAAGGGCCAUCGCUCAACGGAUAAAAGGUA
This 368-nucleotide ribosomal RNA is filed under the name uncultured organism. RNAcentral describes it as "bacterial LSU rRNA". It matches the Rfam family "Bacterial large subunit ribosomal RNA", at positions 2099 to 2465 of the family's 2925-position model. The record is from RNAcentral.